CCAGUCGUUGAGCUUUUUGCUACUGGCGUCGCACUGUGUGACGGAGAGAAAUGGUCUAAGCAUAGGAAGAUAAUAAACCCUUCUUUUCAUUUAGAGAAGCUCAAGGUCUUUCUUACAUCAAUUCUCAUGGUUUUUUCAAAAUGUGAUAAAUCAUAUGUUGAUUUUGCCUUUUGUUUGCUUUGCAGGUUAUGACACCUGCCUUCUACGAGAGCUGCAGUGAGAUGACAAGUAAAUGGGAGAGAUUGGUGAGCGAGCAGGGAUCAUCGAAUGAGAUUGAUAUUUGGCCAUACCUUUGUGAUGUAACAUCAGAUGUCAUUUCGCGUACUGCGUUUGGUAGUAGCUACGAGGAAGGUAAGAGAAUCUUUGAGCUUCAAGAAGAACAAGGCCGGCGACUUUUAAAAGCUCUUGAGCUGGAUUUUAUCC
This 423-nucleotide long non-coding RNA is filed under the name Capsella grandiflora. RNAcentral describes it as "long non-coding RNA (CGRA_LNC001551)". The record is from RNAcentral. Lineage: Eukaryota; Viridiplantae; Streptophyta; Magnoliopsida; Brassicales; Brassicaceae.